AACGAACGCUGGCGGUAGGCUUAACACAUGCAAGUCGAACGCCCCGCAAGGGGAGUGGCAGACGGGUGAGUAACGCGUGGGAAUCUACCGUACCCUACGGAACAACAGUUGGAAACGACUGCUAAUACCGUAUACGCCCUACGGGGGAAAGAUUUAUCGGGGUAUGAUGAGCCCGCGUUGGAUUAGCUAGUUGGUGGGGUAACGGCCUACCAAGGCGACGAUCCAUAGCUGGUCUGAGAGGAUGAUCAGCCACAUUGGGACUGAGACACGGCCCAAACGCCUACGGGAGGCAGCAGUGGGGAAUGUUGGACAAUGGGCGCAAGCCUGAGCCAGCCAUGCCGCGUGGGUGAUGAAGGUCUUAGGAUUGUAAAGCUCUUUCACCGAUGAAGAUAAUGACGGUAGUCGGAGAAGAAGCCCCGGCUAACUUCGUGCCAGCCGCCGCGGUAA
RNAcentral lists this ribosomal RNA (447 nucleotides) under uncultured bacterium. RNAcentral describes it as "partial 16S ribosomal RNA". It matches the Rfam family "Bacterial small subunit ribosomal RNA", at positions 29 to 523 of the family's 1533-position model. The record is from RNAcentral.